GAUCCUGGCUCAGGAUGAACGCUGGCGGCAUGCCUAAGACAUGCAAGUCGAACGAGAUGGCCCAGUGAAGGUUGAGUGCUUGCACAAGACUGAAUCUGGAUUCCCAUCUAGUGGCAGACGGGUGAGUAACACGUGGGUGACCUACCUUUUCGUUGGGGAUAACAGUUGGAAACGAUUGCUAAUACCGAAUAAAAUGUAAGAGUCAAUUUUACAUUGAAAGGAGCCUUUAAAGCUUCGCGAUUAG
Molecule: ribosomal RNA, 244 nt
Filed under: uncultured bacterium
Lineage: Bacteria
Description: partial 16S ribosomal RNA
Rfam family: Bacterial small subunit ribosomal RNA
Source: RNAcentral